GUUGUAAACUUCUUUUGUAAGGGAAUAAAAAGUCUUACGGGAUAAGACGUUGCAGGUACCUUACGAAUAAGGAUCGGCUAACUCCGUGCCAGCAGCCGCGGUAAUACGGAGGAUCCGAGCGUUAUCCGGAUUUAUUGGGUUUAAAGGGUGCGCAGGCGGCAUGUUAAGUCGGCGGUGAAAUUUUGCAGCUCAACUGUAAAAGAGCCUUCGAAACUGGCAAGCUUGAGUGUGGAUGAAGUAGGCGGAAUUUGUGGUGUAGCGGUGAAAUGCAUAGAUAUCACAAAGAACACCGAUUGCGCAGGCAGCUUACUAAACCAUAACUGACGCUCAUGCACGAAGGCGUGGGGAUCAAACAGGAUUAGAUACCCUGGUAGUCCACGCAGUAAACGAUGAUUACUGGCUGUUUGCGAUACAAUGUAAGCGGCUGAGCGAAAGCGUUAAGUAAUCCACCUGGGGAGUACGUUCGCAAGAAUGAAACUCA
Molecule: ribosomal RNA, 481 nt
Filed under: uncultured bacterium
Lineage: Bacteria
Description: bacterial SSU rRNA
Rfam family: Bacterial small subunit ribosomal RNA
Source: RNAcentral